CUGGCUCAGAACGAACGCUGGCGGCGCGUCUUAAGCAUGCAAGUCGAACGGCAAGAGGUAGCAAUACCUCCUAGAGUGGCGGACUGGUGAGUAACACGUGGGUGACAUACCCUUCAGAUGGGGAUAGCUAUUAGAAAUAGUAGAUAAUACCGAAUACGAGCACAGGGGUUAGAGAUCUGGUGGGGAAAGGAGCUAAGGCUCCGCUGAAGGAAUGGCCUGCGGCCCAUUAGCUAGUUGGUGAGGUAAGAGCCCACCAAGGCGAUGAUGGGUAUCCGGCCUUAGAGGGUGAACGGACACAUUGGGACUGAGAUACGGCCCAGACUCCUACGGGAGGCAGCAGCUAAGAAUAUUCCGCAAUGGACGAAAGUCUGACGGAGCGACGCCGCCGUGGAUGAAGAAGGCCGGAAGGUUGUAAAAUCCUUUUGAAACUGAAGAAUAAGCGUUGUAGGGAAUGACAGCGUGGUGACAGUAGGUUUUGAAUAAGCAACGGCUAAUUACGUGCCAGCCGCCGC
Molecule: ribosomal RNA, 512 nt
Filed under: uncultured bacterium
Lineage: Bacteria
Description: bacterial SSU rRNA
Rfam family: Bacterial small subunit ribosomal RNA
Source: RNAcentral